GUGAGGAAUUUUCCGCAAUGGGCGAAAGCCUGACGGAGCAAUGCCGCGUGAAGGAUGAAGGCCUAUGGGUUGUAAACUUCUUUUCUCAGAAAAGAAUUAUGACGGUAUCUGAGGAAUAAGCAUCGGCUAACUCUGUGCCAGCAGCCGCGGUAAGACAGAGGAUGCAAGCGUUAUCCGGAAUGAUUGGGCGUAAAGCGUCUGUAGGUUGUUUAAAAAGUAUUCUGUCAAAGAUUAGGGCUUAACCCUAGAUAGGCAGAAUAAACUUUUAAGCUAGAGUUUGGUAGAGGCAGAGGGAAUUCCCGGUGGAGCGGUGAAAUGCGUAGAUAUCGGGAGGAACACCAAAGGCGAAGGCACUCUGCUGGGCCAAUACUAACACUGAGAGACGAAAGCGAGGGGAGCAAAUGGGAUUAGAUACCCGAAGUCC
Molecule: ribosomal RNA, 424 nt
Filed under: uncultured bacterium
Lineage: Bacteria
Description: partial 16S ribosomal RNA
Rfam family: Bacterial small subunit ribosomal RNA
Source: RNAcentral